This 468-nucleotide ribosomal RNA is filed under the name uncultured bacterium. Its description in RNAcentral is "partial 16S ribosomal RNA". It matches the Rfam family "Bacterial small subunit ribosomal RNA", at positions 28 to 507 of the family's 1533-position model. The record is from RNAcentral.
GACGAACGCUGGCGGCGUGCUUAACACAUGCAAGUCGAACGGAAAGGCCCUGCUUUUGUGGGGUGCUCGAGUGGCGAACGGGUGAGUAACACGUGAGUAACCUGCACUUGACUUUGGGUUAACUUCAGGAAACUGGGGCUAAUACCGGAUAGGAGCUCCUGCUGCAUGGUGGGGGUUGGAAAGUUUCGGCGGUUGGGGAUGGACUCGCGGCUUAUCAGCUUGUUGGUGGGGUAGUGGCUUACCAAGGCUUUGACGGGUAGCCGGCCUGAGAGGGUGACCGGCCACAUUGGGACUGAGAUACGGCCCAGACUCCUACGGGAGGCAGCAGUGGGGAAUAUUGCACAAUGGGCGGAAGCCUGAUGCAGCAACGCCGCGUGCGGGAUGACGGCCUUCGGGUUGUAAACCGCUUUCGCCUGUGACGAAGCGUGAGUGACGGUAAUGGGUAAAGAAGCACCGGCUAACUACGUG